AGUUUGGCCAACAGUUUUACUUGCUGGUGUUCGUUAUUUUUUUCAUGUUUCAAAGUUGUUCUCAUCAGCGAUUGGUUGAAAUCUAGUCAUGUGAUUGAUGCAAGAUCCAAAUUAGGGAUUGAAACCAAACUGACCUUAAUAACGGCGUUAAGUGAUACUGAAUGCCGUAAAUUACGGCGCUUAUUGACAUCAGCGACUUCGGCUUACAGGGGAAACAGCGUUUUGGAUGGCGGGUUACUGGGGAACGGCGUAUUUUGCAUGUCAUUUGACGCCGUAAUGUGUCAUUAUUUGACUCACUUGGCCUUACAUAAGCGUUGCUAACAGGCGAACACGCUUAUUUAACAGACGCGGACGUAUGCUUAACAGCCGUAGGCGCUAAACAAUAGCGUUCUGAACGCAUGAAUUCUGACCCCUUUGGCGUUCCAUAGUUUAUGUGCAUAGUAGAAGUGUUGGUAGGAUCCGACAUAGACAUCAUAUAUAAAGGCUAGACGUCUAAUGGCGCAGUCACUUCCGGCAUCACUGGUGGCCAUCUUGUCACAGGCAGGCUUCCUGGCGGGCUCUGUGGUACCUGAUGUAAGGUUCAGCGAGGACCACUUGGAGCUUCUCUUCAACUCCAUCAGAGCAUCUGGUAGGGUUCAUAAUUUAUAUUUACCAGCUGCAACACUAAGGGACACAGUGUCAGCAAAUGCUUGUAUUGUUUUCAGUUUGUCGGUCCAUAUGUUUUUUUUUUACUUUUGGUAACAUGUUUUCUGAAGACAUACACCCUAACCCUAAGACAUACACAAUACCUGGAAGUGUCACAAACCAUUUUGAGUAUUUAGAAAAAUGCCUGUGUUUGACUAUUUGUUUGCAGAACUUAUCACUGAUACAGUCUGAAUUGUAUGAUAAUGUCAUUCAACCUAUUUUAUGUGGAAAGAUCUUUCAGGGGUGGCUAGUUCUAAUUAGUCUUUUUUUGUAAAAAUGUUUUAAGCAAAAACAUUUUAAAGCAUGUAUUGAAUAUCUGUGUACUAUACUUGUAUCUUUUUUAUUCAUUUAUUUAUUUAUUUUUUUAAAUGAUGGCUGGAAUAACAACCCUAAUGCCAGCCAGUUCAAGUACAUCUUUAGGCUGUAAAGCUGAUUGCCUCUGCAUGGUUUAACAACCCCACACUGGGCCAUGUGACGGCACAGGAUGACACAGAGUCCCUACCAGCUGUCAUCGACACCUCUACAAGCUUGUCAGCUGUAGAUGUGUCCUCUGCAGCAGGAGGAGAAGAUCUUCCAUCCCCGUUUGCUGACAUUUCUGCCCUAGUACAUGAUCACAGCUACCUUCCCUGUCCACUUUGAUGGUCUUGUGGACAACGCUGUCAUGUACAUUUCAGGUGAAGGCUAACUGAAAGUUGAUUUUCCCCUAUAACCAAAAGUGCCAGUAGUCACAAUCUGGGGAAAAACAAUCUCACGAUUGUCCAAAAAGAGAAGUGUUCCCUUAAUUUCCCCAUGCUUAUUAAUGAUUAUUGUUAUAAGUUAUGAUAUUACUAACUCAAAUUUCAGGAUUUGUUGUGCGACAGGCUCUGAAGAAGCUGUCGUGUGAUGUCUGCCGUGCCAGCCUGGUGACAGAUGCUGCAUCUGCCAUCAAGGACCAGAGAUACCACCUGCUGACUUUAAAAACAAUGGAGGUCUGGUGAUUCCAUCAGAGGGAACCGUGAGGGUCGUCAGGGCAGCACAGUGGGUCAUUCGGCAGUCAUCAGGCAGUACCAGACAAUCACAGCCCAUCAAACUGCUUGAGGUUGUUUACAUUGUCUGAAAAAGGAUCGGUUCAGAGGAUGUUUGUGUUGGGAUAGACAGCCAGCACUAUAGGCUGUUAAAAAUAAUUCUGUCCCUGUUUUUUAAGUUAAAGCUGCACCACAUCGUCAGAAUUACAAUCCUCAGCUUACAGAGCAACAACAUGCAACAGAAACCUAAUAAAACUGUCCUUUUCAAAGGGCAUUAGCCCAAGGUAUGUGUUUUCAAGGUACUGUCCUCUUUUACUUCAACAGUAGUGUAGUUCUCUCUACAGCAUUUCUUUUUUGGAUAUUUGUAAAGGGG
This is a long non-coding RNA of Esox lucius (northern pike), 2061 nucleotides long. The record is from Ensembl. NCBI's taxonomy places the organism in Eukaryota, Metazoa, Chordata, Actinopteri, Esociformes, Esocidae.